CUAGGAUGAACGCUAGCGGCAGGCUUAACACAUGCAAGUCGAGGGGCAGCGGGAUGUAGCAAUACAUUGCCGGCGACCGGCGGAUGGGUGCGUAACGCGUAUGCAACCUACCUUAUACAGGGGAAUAACCUUUCGAAAGGGAGACUAGCACCCCAUAGUAUUGAUUUAAGGCAUCUUAGAUUAAUUAAAUAUUUAUAGGUAUAAGAUGGGCAUGCGUAUGAUUAGCUAGUUGGUAAGGUAACGGCUUACCAAGGCGACGAUCAUUAGGGGUUCUGAGAGGAAGGUCCCCCCACACUGGUACUGAGACACGGACCAGACUCCUACGGGAGGCAGCAGUGAGGAAUAUUGGUCAAUGGGCGCAAGCCUGAACCAGCCAUGCCGCGUGCAGGAAAGACGGCCUUAUGGGUUGUAAACUGCUUUUACAUAAGACUAACCGUAUAUUUGCGAAUAUACCUGAAUGUAUUAUGAGAAUAAGGAUCGGCUAACUCCGUGCCAGCCGCUGC
Molecule: ribosomal RNA, 503 nt
Filed under: uncultured bacterium
Lineage: Bacteria
Description: bacterial SSU rRNA
Rfam family: Bacterial small subunit ribosomal RNA
Source: RNAcentral